Molecule: long non-coding RNA, 417 nt
Organism: Cygnus olor (mute swan)
Lineage: Eukaryota; Metazoa; Chordata; Aves; Anseriformes; Anatidae
Exons: 3
Source: RefSeq, a predicted model, not a curated record
GGCUAUGUUUGGCUCUGCUCCUUGUUGCACAUGGAACAAGAUGCUGUGGCUCAUCCUCUAACCUAUAUGCUGUCGUAGUGGUCACAGAGUGGUUAUGAAAUUUCCCACGGCUCCAGAUCUGUUGUGUGGAUGCUGGACAAGUGCUGGCAGGCACUUCCAUGAUGUUCAAAUCCUGCCAUGGAGAAGAAAGACUCUGUUGACUCCUGUGGGCUCUGGUUCAGGCCCCCAGGCAACUGGACACCUCACCUAGUUAUCUUUUCUCAAACCAGACUUCCAGAAGAAGCCUCGAUAGGAGGAAAGAAAUUACCAGCAGCGUGUGGCAAGUUUGACUGUUGAAUCAGAAGGUGGCAGACCGUUUACAGUGAGAUCCCAGCCCAGACAAGUGGCACUUCACGUCCUAUUCCACUUUACGGACAG